UCGAGAAUUUUUCACAAUGGGGGAAACCCUGAUGGAGCGACGCCGCGUGGGGGAUGAAUGGCUUCGGCCCGUAAACCCCUGUCAUUUGCGAACAAAUGUGCAUACGCAAUACGUGUGUACUUGAUGGUAGCGAAAGAGGAAGGGACGGCUAACUCUGUGCCAGCAGCCGCGGUAAUACAGAGGUCCCAAGCGUUGUUCGGAUUCACUGGGCGUAAAGGGUGCGUAGGUGGCCAGGUAAGUCUGAUGUGAAAUCUCGGAGCUCAACUCCGAAACUGCAUUGGAUACUAUCUGGCUGGAGGGUCGGAGGGGGGACUGGAAUUCUCGGUGUAGCAGUGAAAUGCGUAGAUAUCGAGAGGAACACCAGUGGCGAAGGCGAGUCCCUGGACGACUCCUGACACUGAGGCACGAAAGCUAGGGGAGCAAACAG
This 427-nucleotide ribosomal RNA is filed under the name uncultured bacterium. Its description in RNAcentral is "bacterial SSU rRNA". It matches the Rfam family "Bacterial small subunit ribosomal RNA", at positions 355 to 775 of the family's 1533-position model. The record is from RNAcentral.